RNAcentral lists this ribosomal RNA (418 nucleotides) under uncultured bacterium. RNAcentral's name for it is "bacterial SSU rRNA". It matches the Rfam family "Bacterial small subunit ribosomal RNA", at positions 355 to 787 of the family's 1533-position model. The record is from RNAcentral.
UGGGGAAUAUUGGGCAAUGGGCGCAAGCCUGACCCAGCAACGCCGCGUGAAGGAAGAAGGCUUUCGGGUUGUAAACUUCUUUUAAGAGGGAAGAGCAGAAGACGGUACCCUCAUUAGAUCAAGCCACGCUAACUACGUGCCAGCAGCCGCGGUAAUACGUAGGUGGCAAGCGUUGUCCGGAUUUACUGGGUGUAAAGGGCGUGCAGCCGGGAAGACAAGUCAGAUGUGAAAUCCCGCGGCUCAACCGCGGAACUGCAUUUGAAACUGUUUUCUUGAGUACCGGAGAGGUCAUCGGAAUUCCUUGUGUAGCGGUGAAAUGCGUAGAUAUAAGGAAGAACACCAGUGGCGAAGGCGGAUGACUGGACGGCAACUGACGUUGAGGCUCGAAAGCGUGGGGAGCAAACAGGAUUAGAUACCC